UGGGGAAUUUUGGACAAUGGGCGAAAGCCUGAUCCAGCAAUGCCGCGUGUGUGAAGAAGGCCUUCGGGUUGUAAAGCACUUUUGUCCGGAAAGAAAUCCUUGGCUCUAAUACAGUCGGGGGAUGACGGUACCGGAAGAAUAAGCACCGGCUAACUACGUGCCAGCAGCCGCGGUAAUACGUAGGGUGCAAGCGUUAAUCGGAAUUACUGGGCGUAAAGCGUGCGCAGGCGGUUUGCUAAGACCGAUGUGAAAUCCCCGGGCUCAACCUGGGAACUGCAUUGGUGACUGGCAGGCUAGAGUAUGGCAGAGGGGGGUAGAAUUCCACGUGUAGCAGUGAAAUGCGUAGAGAUGUGGAGGAAUACCGAUGGCGAAGGCAGCCCCCUGGGCCAAUACUGACGCUCAUGCACGAAAGCGUGGGGGAGCAAAACAGGAUUAGAUACCCUGGUAGUCCACGCCCUAAAACGAUGUCAACUAGUUGUUGGGGGAUUCAUUUCCUUAGUAACGUAGCUAACGCGUGAAGUUGACCGCCUGGGGAGUACGGUCGCAAGAUUAAAACUUAAAUGAAUUGACGGGGUCAUAGCUGUUUCCU
RNAcentral lists this ribosomal RNA (589 nucleotides) under uncultured bacterium. Its description in RNAcentral is "partial 16S ribosomal RNA". It matches the Rfam family "Bacterial small subunit ribosomal RNA", at positions 355 to 1375 of the family's 1533-position model. The record is from RNAcentral.